Molecule: long non-coding RNA, 344 nt
Filed under: Brassica napus (rape)
Lineage: Eukaryota; Viridiplantae; Streptophyta; Magnoliopsida; Brassicales; Brassicaceae
Description: long non-coding RNA (BNAP_LNC014724)
Source: RNAcentral
UCAAAAAUAUGAAAAUAAUGUUUUAAUGCAUAGUUGCAUCAUUCACCAACAUAUGAUGAAGUUCAAAGAGGUUUGAAACUUUUUUUUGUCUUCGUUUCCCUAGAAAAUAACGAUUUUAUAGUGGUUAGUCAACAAAUUUAGGGAGAAUUAUGAAGGUUUACUAAAUUAAUUGACAAAAAAUUAAAACUAUGUCCAUGUACCAUGAAAGAGAGUUUAAUAUACAUUAAUACAAAAUUAAAAUGUGUUUAGAAAUUUUAAAACAACACUAAAGAUCAUAGGCUUCAGUAUAUAGAGCAUAUACCGAAAAUUCAAUAUUUUCGGUGGGUUAUUAACCCAUAGAUUUU